AAUGGAGUGUACUCAUUGGAAGGAGAGGAAGUAGUUGGGUAAGUAGUUUUAGCUUCUAUAAGAAAUAUGUCAAGAAUUGAGUUGUGGCAUAGAAGGUUAGGACAUGUGAGUUAAAUAGGUCUGGUGGAGCUCUGUAAACAAGGUCUACUAUGUGGUGACAAAGUGGAGAAACUGAAUUUCUAUAUAAAAAUUAUGUUUAUGGCAAGGGAUAUAGAGCAAAGUUUGGAGCUGGUCAACAAAAAACUAAAGGAACCUUGGAUUUGAUACAUGUU
RNAcentral lists this long non-coding RNA (272 nucleotides) under Lathyrus oleraceus (garden pea). Its description in RNAcentral is "Pisum sativum (pea) long non-coding RNA (PSAT_LNC028557)". The record is from RNAcentral. Lineage: Eukaryota; Viridiplantae; Streptophyta; Magnoliopsida; Fabales; Fabaceae.